ACCGCAUACAAGUCUCUUGGAACAGAGCGUCAUAGUGGUGAGAACCCAGUACACGAUGCGGAUGCCUAUUACUUUGUGAUACACUUUCGAAGAGUCGAGUUGUUUGGGAAUGCAGCUCAAAUUGGGUGGUAAAUUCCAUCUAAAGCUAAAUAUUGGCGAGAGACCGAUAGCGAACAAGUACCGUGAGGGAAAGAUGAAAAGCACUUUGGAAAGAGAGUUAACAGUACGUGAAAUUGUUGGAAGGGAAACACAUGCAGUGAUACUUGCUAUUCGGGGCAACUCGAUUGGCAGGCCCGCAUCAGUUUUUCGGGGCGGAAAAUCAUAGAGAGAAGGUAGCAGUCUCGGCUGUGUUAUAGCUCUUUAUUGGAUUCGCCCUGGGGGACUGAGGAACGCAGCGUGCUUUUUGCAUGAGCUUCGGCUUAUCCACGCUUAGGAUGCGGGUUUAUGGCUGUAUAUGACCCGUCUUG
Molecule: ribosomal RNA, 467 nt
Filed under: Sporobolomyces carnicolor
Lineage: Eukaryota; Fungi; Basidiomycota; Microbotryomycetes; Sporidiobolales; Sporidiobolaceae
Description: eukaryotic LSU rRNA
Rfam family: Eukaryotic large subunit ribosomal RNA
Source: RNAcentral